AAAUUGAAGAGUUUGAUCAUGGCUCAGAUUGAACGCUGGCGGCAGGCCUAACACAUGCAAGUCGAACGGUAACAGGAAGCAGCUUGCUGCUUCGCUGACGAGUGGCGGACGGGUGAGUAAUGUCUGGGAAACUGCCUGAUGGAGGGGGAUAACUACUGGAAACGGUGGCUAAUACCGCAUAACGUCGCAAGACCAAAGAGGGGGACCUUCGGGCCUCUUGCCAUCAGAUGUGCCCAGAUGGGAUUAGCUGGUUGGUGAGGUAACGGCUCACCAAGGCGACGAUCCCUAGCUGGUCUGAGAGGAUGACCAGCCACACUGGAACUGAGACACGGUCCAGACUCCUACGGGAGGCAGCAGUGGGGAAUAUUGCACAAUGGGCGCAAGCCUGAUGCAGCCAUGCCGCGUGUAUGAAGAAGGCCUUCGGGUUGUAAAGUACUUUCAGCGGGGAGGAAGGUGUUGUGGUUAAUAACUGCAGCAAUUGACGUUACCCGCAGAAGAAGCACCGGCUAACUCCGUGCCAGCAGCCGCGGUAAUACGGAGGG
Molecule: ribosomal RNA, 542 nt
Filed under: Salmonella enterica
Lineage: Bacteria; Pseudomonadati; Pseudomonadota; Gammaproteobacteria; Enterobacterales; Enterobacteriaceae
Also listed under: 1 other name
Description: bacterial SSU rRNA
Rfam family: Bacterial small subunit ribosomal RNA
Source: RNAcentral